AACCUCCUCUUGAAGAAGGCUGUUGGUCCUAAAACUGGCCCUGAACCUCCUCUUGAAGAAGGCUGUUGGUCCUAAAACUGGCCCUGAACCUCCUCUUGAAGAAGGCUGUUGGUCCUACUGAUUGUUUGUUUUCAGCCUUGUUUAUUGUUUACUAAUAUUGAUUCAGAGUUAUUAUGAAGUGUCUCAUAUCUGGAUAACCUGGUCUAGUCCAAUGAGGUUAUCCAGAUAUGAUUAUCCAGACCACAUUAGAUAAUACAAUGACUGUGUCCCAGAGGGCGGCCUUUACCCUAUGGGCCCUGGUUAACAGUAGUGUCCCCUUUACCCUAUGGGCCCUGGUCAACAGUAGUGUCCUCUUUAUCCUAUGGGCCCUGGUUAACAGUAGUGUCCCCUUCACCCUAUGGGCCCUGGUUAACAGUAGUGUCCCCUUCACCCUAUGGGCCCUGGUCAACAGUAGUGUUGAGGGUAAAGGGUGCACUACUGUUGACCAGGGCCCAUAGUGGUGUCCCCUUUACCUUAUGGGCCCCGGUCAAUAGUAGUGCAUGACAGAGGGGAUAGGAUUCAAUUUGGGACACUGGCCUGUUGGUCAUGUAUGUGCCUCCUUUAGUAAAUGCUAAAGUUAAAAAACGUCAUAUUGUACAAGAACAACAAUUCAUGUUGAUUGUAAGUGUGUUUCUUCUGCUACCUGAGCUGUGUUUUGACUGUGAUGAUGAUGGUGUGUUGUCAGGUUGUUUUUCUAUUGUGUUUACGUCCACUGUGUCCCUACUACAGUACAUGGCUCCUGUUAUAGCUGCUAGCUGGUAGCAUUGAAUAGGGAAGUCGUUCUGUGUCUCUGUAACAAAUGCCUCCCUAUUAACUGCACUACUUUGGACCAGGGCCCUAUGGGUCAUGGUCAAAAGUAGUGCACUAUGUAGGGAAUAAGGUGCAUUUUGGGAUGCAUCCUCGAUCUGUCCUGUUCCACACCACUAAUAGCUGAGCUGAACUGGUGUCCAGAUGUCACUCAGAGGCCUGUUGGGAUGCAUCCUCAAUCUGUCCUGCUCCACAGAGGUCAGGGGCCUGUUGGGAUGCAUCCUCAAUCUGUCCUGCUCCACAGAGGUCAGGGGCCUGUUGGGAUGCAUCCUCAAUCUGUCCUGCUCCACAGAGGUCAGAGGUCAGGGGCCUGUUGGGAUCCAUUCCAAUAGAAGUCGGUCAGUUCAGGAAAUAAACUGAAAUUCCAAUUCAAUAAUUACAAUUAUUUCUCAAUAAACUGAAAAUGAGAAGCUAUUUAUUUCAGAAAGGUUUUUCCGUUUUCAUUAGGAAUCAGAUGGUUUUGGAGUCGGGGGCGAGUUUUCAGAAAGGUAUUUUCUCUGUUGAUGCUGUCAUCUAGAUGAUCUGCUGUGUCCAGUUUAAAUGAAUCCAUGUUACAGUGUCGACGGACCACCGAGACACCACCUAUCCUAAUUAGAUAUCUAGCAUGCACCUGACACCUGUGCUAAUUAGAUAUCUACAUGCACCUGACACCUGUGCUAAUUAGAUAUCUAGCAUGCACCUGACACCUGUGCUAAUUAGAUAUCUAGCAUGCACCUG
Oncorhynchus tshawytscha (Chinook salmon) is the source of this 1563-nucleotide long non-coding RNA. Lineage: Eukaryota; Metazoa; Chordata; Actinopteri; Salmoniformes; Salmonidae. The record is from Ensembl.